This is a long non-coding RNA of Oncorhynchus masou masou (cherry salmon), 933 nucleotides long. RefSeq lists it as uncharacterized. The record is from RefSeq and is a predicted model, not a curated record. Lineage: Eukaryota; Metazoa; Chordata; Actinopteri; Salmoniformes; Salmonidae. The transcript has 3 exons.
GAGAGACGCCGAAAGGGAAAGGUCACGUUAGCGCUUAGCUCUCAGAUGUGAUAGCCUGCUAAAUCUUCUCUAGUAGCGAAUAUCAACUUCAGUUAAGCACUCUAUUAGAGGCACAAGUGCGGCACAUUCCAUUUCACCCUCUCAGCUCGUCUUGAUAGAGUAGAUUGUGUCACAUCUGUGACUCCAUGCUUAUAUCAUUACAGCUGAGCUGUAUUAAAAUGAAUAAUAUAUAGGGGCCAGAAUGAAGGCACACACCACUGAAGAAUGUUCCGGCGAAAAAUCCAGUGCUCGUCUUUCACUGGCAAUCGAGGAGGAGUGGAUUUAAGAUAGAAAACCAAGACAAUCGUAUGACUUCUCUUCAUGUGAUAACCUCUCUCCGUCCAGCACGCUGUACACAACCCUGGCACUGCUCCCGUAUGUAGGAUCAUCUGCAUCCGACGCAGUGACCUUCAUCACCGAUGUUCCUGCAGGAGAAUUACAUGUCAGAACAGCACAAUAACACAAGGCUUCAGGACGUCUAGGUAAUAAUCAGCGUGACGCUCAGCUGUUUCGGGGCUGCCUGGGUGCGAGGCGGCUGGAAGAACUAUAUAAAUGCAAAUGCUACGUUAUUGUGUAUAUAUAUAAAAAAAAAGGUGAAGUAGGAGUAAGUCUGCAGCAGCUAGAGUCGUUACUAAUGCCUUGGCUGGCCUCAGCUCUCACAAGCAGAAGCAGCUAAGGCAUUAGUUAUCGGCUGUGGGGUUUGUCAGUCUUAAUUAAGCAGAUUCCACUUUGUGACAGCCUCAAGAGAAUUUCAAUAAAAGUUAUUGACUAACUCAAUAGGUAAACAACAAAAUGUUACAGUAAUGAGAAAAGUAUUUUAAUGAAGAAAGCGCCCUUUAUUCACUAUCUAAAGAUUUGUUUUGCCCGCUCUGUAAAUAAAAGCAGAUGAGUAAA